CCUACGGGGGGCAGCAGUGGGGAAUAUUUCUCAAUGGGCGAAAGCCUGACGCAGCGACGCCGCGUGGGUGAUGAAGGCCUUCGGGUUGUAAAGCCCUGUCGUGUGGAACGAACGAUCUGGCGGCGAAUAACCGCCGGGUGUGACGGUACCACCGAAGGAAGCCCCGGCUAACUACGUGCCAGCAGCCGCGGUAAGACGUAGGGGGCGAGCGUUGUUCAGAUGUGCGUGGCGGAAAACGCGCGUAGGCUGCGAAAUCCCUCGGCUUAACCGAGGUCCCGCAUCCGAGACUGUCGGGCUCGAGUCUAGGAGAGGAAAGCGGAAUUCCCAGUGUAGCGGUGAAAUGCGUAGAUAUUGGGAGGAACACCGGUGGCGAAGGCGGCUUUCCGGACUAGUACUGACGCUGAGGCGCGAAAGCUAGGGGAGCGAACGGGAUUAGAUACCCUGGUAGUC
Molecule: ribosomal RNA, 450 nt
Filed under: uncultured bacterium
Lineage: Bacteria
Description: partial 16S ribosomal RNA
Rfam family: Bacterial small subunit ribosomal RNA
Source: RNAcentral